Molecule: ribosomal RNA, 301 nt
Filed under: uncultured bacterium
Lineage: Bacteria
Description: partial 16S ribosomal RNA
Rfam family: Bacterial small subunit ribosomal RNA
Source: RNAcentral
CAGCAGCCACGGGAAUGCGUAGGUGGCAAGCGUUGUCCGGAAUUAUUGGGCGUAAAGGGCUCGCAGGCGGUUUCUUAAGUCUGAUGUGAAAGCCCCCGGCUCAACCGGGGAGGGUCAUUGGAAACUGGGAAACUUGAGUGCAGAAGAGGAGAGUGGAAUUCCACGUGUAGCGGUGAAAUGCGUAGAGAUGUGGAGGAACACCAGUGGCGAAGGCGACUCUCUGGUCUGUAACUGACGCUGAGGAGCGAAAGCGUGGGGAGCGAGCAGGAUUAGAUACCCCAGUAGUCCCUGUCUCUUAUAC